UACGUAGGGUGCAAGCGUUGUCCGGAAUUAUUGGGCGUAAAGAGCUCGUAGGCGGUUUGUCGCGUCUGCUGUGAAAACCCGGGGCUCAACCCCGGGCCUGCAUUCGAUACGGGCGGACUAGAGUUCGGUAGGGGAGACUGGAAUUCCUGGUGUAGCGGUGAAAUGCGCAGAUAUCAGGAGGAACACCGGUGGCGAAGGCGGGUCUCUGGGCCGAUACUGACGCUGAGGAGCGAAAGCGUGGGGAGCAAACAGG
RNAcentral lists this ribosomal RNA (253 nucleotides) under uncultured bacterium. RNAcentral describes it as "partial 16S ribosomal RNA". It matches the Rfam family "Bacterial small subunit ribosomal RNA", at positions 524 to 776 of the family's 1533-position model. The record is from RNAcentral.